GAUAAACGCUGGCGGCGCACAUAAGACAUGCAAGUUGAACGGACUUAAUCGAAAUAUUUCUAUUUUGAAGCGGUUAGUGGCGGACUGGUGAGUAACGCGUAAGGAACCUGCCUAUUAGAGGGGAAUAACAGUGAGAAAUCAUUGCUAAUACCGCAUAUGCCAUAGAUAUCACAUGAUAACAGUGGGAAACGAGCAAUACUCUAAUAGAUGGCCUGGCGUCUGAUUAGAUAGUUGGUGGGGUAACGGCCUACCAAGUCGACGAUGCGUAGCCGGACUGAGAGGAUGAUCAGCCACACUGGAGCGGAGACACGGGCCCGACUCGUAAGGGAGGCACCAGUGGGGAAUAUUCGGGAAGGGGCGGAAGCCUAUACCAGGCAAACCAGGUGAGUGAAAAGGGGUUUCGGGUCGUAAAGCCCGUAUGUUUGGGGAGAAAAGCAGCAGGUUAAUACGGAGGUGUACUGACGGUACCCAAAGAAGAAGCACCGGCUAACUACGUG
RNAcentral lists this ribosomal RNA (497 nucleotides) under uncultured bacterium. RNAcentral's name for it is "partial 16S ribosomal RNA". It matches the Rfam family "Bacterial small subunit ribosomal RNA", at positions 28 to 507 of the family's 1533-position model. The record is from RNAcentral.